Molecule: RNA transcript, 6139 nt
Organism: Tyto alba (common barn owl)
Lineage: Eukaryota; Metazoa; Chordata; Aves; Strigiformes; Tytonidae
Gene: NDP
Gene name: norrin cystine knot growth factor NDP
Exons: 7
Source: RefSeq, a predicted model, not a curated record
UUUCUGUGGAAUUCCCAUUUGCCAGCGAGCUGCUGCUGCCGCUGCCCUGAUUGAUAUAUGACUGCAAUGGCACUUUUCCAUUUGACAUUCCCUCUCUCUCCCUCUCCCUCUCUCUCUUAAACAACAGCCCUAACUUUUGUGUGUUGCAAAUAUAAAAGGCAAGCCAUGUGACAGUGGGACAGAAGAACAAAAGCAUUUGGAAGUAACAGAACCUCUUUUUAGCUCUCCGAAGAGUCCGAGGAGAGGAAGGAGCAGUGAAUUUCCCAAAGCAUCAGAGGCACGAGCAUAACUGUUCUCUGUGGCUUUGGGACAAAAGAAGAGUUUCACUGUUAUGAGCCCAGUGAUAAAGUGUCAGUGUAGUGCGACUGCGAGGCACGGGAACGGACACUGCCCCGAGAGAGCCCAGCUGAGGAAGAAAGCCCCGUCUCCCUGCUGGGAUUAAGGAGAUUCUUUGACGGAUUACAAUCUCGGCAAACUCCAACUCGAGAAGCAGAAUGACAACUAAGAGACUUAAACCAGACCUUUCACCAUCCUGGAAAGGAAGUGGCUGCCAGUAUUUGAAGGUUUUUUAAUACUCUACCUCCCUCUGCUGUUAUCAGCGAGAAGUUCCUUGACAAUGGGAAGUCAUGUACUUGCAGCUUCGAUUUCCAUGCUCUCACUCCUGGCAAUGAUGGGAGACACAGACAGUAAAACAGACAGUUCCUUCAUGAUUGACUCCGACCCCAGCCGCUGUAUGAGGCAUCACUACGUCGACUCCAUCAGUCACCCCCUCUACAAGUGCAGCUCAAAGAUGGUGCUGCUGGCUCGCUGCGAAGGGCGCUGCAGCCAGACGUCGCGCUCGGAGCCGCUGGUUUCUUUCAGCACCGUCCUGAAGCAGCCUUUCCGCUCCACCUGCCACUGCUGCCGGCCCCAGACCUCCAAGCUGAAGGCCAUGCGGUUGCGAUGCUCGGGGGGCAUGCGGCUCACUGCCACCUACCGCUACAUCCUCUCCUGCCACUGCGAGGAGUGCAACUCCUAGGGAUGUUCCUGCCGCAGCAGAGAGGGGACUGGGGUGCUGCUGUUGGGGAAGGCUCCCAAGAAGUAAUCCAAGGUGAGGCCGACACUCCCAGCGUACGAUUGCAGCGAGGACAGGACUAACCAGACUGGAUUGGAUCAGAGAGCUAAAGUGUAAAAUAUCCUGGGGCCUGGAUGGAGCCGGUACCGAAGUAUGGGCAGUGACAAAAGCAAAAACGGGAGGACUUGUUUUUAAGAAGCCUUUCUUUUUUUCUGAAAGGAUAUUUUUGUGAGUUUCUUCUUUUUCAGGCUCAGCUCUGAUUACAGAGAGGUGCUUUUGCUUUAGGCCAAGGGCAGCAGAGGAAAAGAGAGGAAGAUCAGCUGGAUGACAGCACUACGCUCUGGAAGUUGGCGUUCAGACACAGAUGUGGGCAUCAGUUCCCAUAUACCACCUUUUAACCUAUCAAUUUAUUCUCAGUCUCCUAGUUACAUUUGCCUUCAAAACAGACUGUGCUGUUGGCAAGGGUUAUCUGUUACUCAUCUAGAAGCCAAGCGUUGGACAACUUUAACUGUGGUUUAGCAGAAAUUACAAAUAAAUCAUUGAAAAGUGAACAGGAUAUGAAAUGUCACACUGGGAUUACCCAGCCAUUGCUGGCUGAAAUGAUUAUUUGCAGCAUUUGGCAACAGAGUUCAGUAGCUGAGCAGCUCCUGAAAAAUGGAAGGUCAUUGUUUCCCUCUAAAAGUUUGGAAAUGUGGCACAUCACAUCUGUCACAAAAGCCAUUAUUCAAAUGCUAAAAAACAUGAUGUGAGAAAAGAGAUGCCCCUGAGCUCCCUUCUGUGGUUCUUUUCUACAGACUGUAACUGUGGGAAAAAUACAUCAGAAAAUGAAAUGCAGCAGAGGAUGCUUGGGGGAACUAAGGCACCAUAUUCUACACUUUGAUGAAAUGACAAUGGAGGACAAUCAGUAGCUUCAGUGAGAACAAACCCUGGCCAGCACCACAAAGCCUCCUGCCUGAGGAUGAUGAGAGGAGGCAAGGAGGGAAGAAGGGAAGGAUCCAGUUUUGCGAUGCACCUGCUCGGGAUACUGCCAGUCCUCAGCAUCAGAUGUCUGCAAGUCAUUUGCCCUUAAUUGAGGAAAAUUCAGAGUUAUGCUCAUUUAAGUUUCCUUCAUUCCUUUCACCUGCCCUGCUCCUCCUCACCCACCCUGCACCUCUAAUACAUGGAAACAAUCGUGCUGCUGGGAUCCCACUGCUCAUGUCAGACAUAUCUCCACAUUGUCACGUACAGAGCUUCUCCAAACAUUCACAGUAACUGGGAAUGGGAUGCUGGAAGAAGAAAUCUGUGACCCGAUGCAGCAAGACUGUGCAGACUUAAAACUGAUUAAUAUUUUACAUAAGCUAGCUAUGUUCAAACAUUACCACUCCUGGGACUAGAGUUACUGCUGCCUCACAUAUUUCAUUCCCUUUGAAGUGCAAGAGUCCCUGCACUGGGAGAACCCAUUUCUGUGCUUCCGAAUGUUUCCCGUGUUGUUUCUUUGUUUUUAUUUGCCUGCCCUUAAGGCCUCGGGCAAUGAGGAGCUGGUAAUCCACCUCUCUUCCUCUGUACUCUCCAAUUUGGAAACAGCCUCAGGGGGAAAUACAUGCAUCAUCCUCCUCUAUAACUGAAGGCUUCUCUCUUGCAUCUUGUUUCAAAGACUGAAUAAUGUGCUAAUUCUGGCUUUUCAUCUACAGGCACCAUAAACUCCAGAACACUGGGGCUAUUUUGUCACCCGGUGUUGGAAACUCACUACUGACUACUUUGUGACUUUUUUUUUUUUUUUUUCCCCUUAAACUGUAAUGAUACACACAGGCAUAUGCAUAUGUGCACACGCACACACACAGACACAGGGAGGGUGAGACUGUGCUUACUGUAGGAUAGGAGAAGCUCUGUUUUCCAGCCUUGACCUGGAUAAUCACAGCUUUGUGGGAAAUGUUUUAUAUUGCAGUAUUGCAACAGGAUGUAAAAGAGAAACACACCGAGACACACACAAAUCUACUUCUAUAUAUUCAUAAAUAUGUUUUUAUGCAUUUAAGCCUCAAUAGAGCCAUUGCUGUCAGGCAAAAUGACUGCAUGAAUGACCUUGAACGCCACAAACCAAAAGGUGAUAAACACAACACGGCGCCAGGUCAGCAGCACACCCGACUGCAAAGGAGGCAAAGGCCGUCGCUGGCUGCUCCUGACGUUCUGCUGAGUAACCCACGCUUUCCCUGGAGGUGGGGCACAGCGUGAGGCUCCGGCGUGAUGAAAUCCUUGCGGAUUCCUGGGAGAGGGGCUGGGGCUGAGCCUGAGCCUGAGCCUUUAGGUGGAGCUCACGUACCGCCGCUCCCGGGAAGAGCAUCACUGCGGGACAAGGCCGGCCAGGCAGAGCAGAGCUUGACCUCCCGAUUUUCACCGCUCGGGUUAACAGCCGGGUUCCUCACAAAGCUGAGAAACGGUUUCUUUCGAAAGCUGUUUGCAGAUGGCUUUUGUCCUGCGUGCACGCAGCGUUGGCUACGGCCCAUAGGGCUGCUGGCGGAUCCACCGUGGCUGGGCUUUGUUACUGGGGCAACUAGAGGGGCUGCGUGCACCCGGCCACCGCCGCGGCAGGAGCGUGGAAUCAGAGACUCUCGGUGCGUGUCCACGCAGCCAGGGAAGCUCCCUUCAGGUCUACCUCGCGUCCCAGUCCAACGGGACCCCGAGGACCUUCAGCUCCCGAAGGAGGCCCAGGAGCACGCUUUGCUGCGUGGCGGCAGGGGGCCCGGUGCUGCUGGGCUGUGGGAUGGGGAGAGCCGUGCGCAAGGCUGCCUUAAUUCAUCUUAAUUAAUUGUGCAGUGGCUGGGAGGAGGGCCACUGCACAAGCGGAGCGCGGUGGGAAGCACGAAGGAGCAGGCCUCUGUGCGAGUCUUGGGCUCAGCAAGGGCAAUCUGGCAGGCUCGCAUCAGCUGCAGAGCGUGUGGUUCCCAGAUCUUCCCGUCCCUUCUGUGAGAUCUGGCAGGCUGGAGAGUAGGCAGAAAUAAGUGGAAGAAAGCUGUACUCUAGCAGCAAACCCCAAAUCAGUGGACUGCAUUUAAAACACAUGUGAGGGCUUACAAUUUUGUCUAACAAAGCCAGGCUUGUAAAAGCUGUGUUUAUUUCACACUGUAAAAGUGAUACCUGGCAUCACAAGCAGGGCCUGUGUCAGCUCAGGAGGAUGAAGAAUGUGAGUGUCCUCGAUAGCACCAGAGAUAGAAAGCAGAAGGGGACAGGAGUGGUCCUUAAACCUGCAAAACAGGAAAAGGAAAAAUUACGGAUUUCUACAUUUCUUAUUAUACAUGAAGCUGCCAGCAAUAUCACACCAUACUCACAGAAGAGCCUGACAUAACCCCAAAUCUUGCCCACUAUGUUGUUACACUCCCAAGACUCCUGGGAUGAACAGAUGUUUGGGACAGCAAACUUACAAAAACAACUUUACACUGAGGGUGUCCUGCUGCCAGCUGCGGGAUGGUGAGGAUCUUGCAUGGACAUUAAAGAGGAUCAGCAGUUGCCAAAUGCCCUGUUGAAGCCCUGGCCAUGAAUGGAAAGGUUAGAUUUAUACCAACCGCCCCUAGCUUGCUGCCCCAGGACCAAACUAAAACGUUUGGUGGUUAGAGCAAGCCUGGGCUGUGGGGUUGGUGUGCAGAUAGCCUCUCCUGACUCUGCUGCUAGGGUGAUGAUGUGUGUUAACAACAGAGUUGCUCUAACGCUCUUGUUAUUUCAUGACAUUUUGGGAAAUACCAUGACUGUGAGCUCUUGCUCCUUCUUGCACUUUAGAUAAGUUGACGUGAAGUUUGGUCAGGGACAAACAAGGCUGGUAUUGCCAGUUUACAACAACUUCAGCCAGGAGAAUCUGUCUUAUAGCAUCCGAGUUUAUGCAACUGGGGCAACUACAGAGGAGGCAAAGUUCAGAUAUUCAGUUAGCAGUCAAGGCCUUUGAAGAGCACAUUUUGUGAUCCAGCUUCAGCUUUGUACUUAAAUGAUAUAUAAAUCUUUACAGAUGAGAAUCAAUGACAUGUAGAAGAGGAAAUGUAAAGUGAUGCCUCCAAGGAAGAGCUGUGUGCAACCAUGCUAUAGACAAAGGAGUGUCCAGAAGGGCAAGAGACAUUUUGAAAAAAACAAAACAAAACAAAACAAAGCCUAAAUGCAAACCAGAUAGGCUUUGUAAUUCUGCAGCCUGCUGAUCUACUCUUCUUUCUUACUUUAGUGCCUGUUUAUUUCAGUUGGAUUCUUACAAAUUCCUGGUCUUUUUCUCUCUUUGUGCAAGAAAAAAACCUGGUGACUCUGAAUAUCUGUAAAAUAUCAAAUUGUUUGAUGAGCUGUUUUCCAGACAAAACUUCAUCAGCUGAAACUACACCUGUACCAAAAAUCCUUCCCCAUUUUGUGAUGUCUCAUACCAGUAUCCAAACCUCCCUUUCAUGGAUGUGAUAAAAAGUUUUGAAAGGAAAUCAAGUUAUAAGGGAAACAAAUUUUAAUGAUGUUGCUGGUGUGUGCUACUCAUUGUGUUAUUACUUUAUUUUCCUCCUCAGUUCCCUGUUUUUUUCACAUGAUAAAUCCCAAUUACUAUAAAGGUAAGCAACAUUAGUCAUUUAAGAUGAAUUCAUAGGUCAGAGUUAGGAAGACUCAAUGUCCCUUUCACAUGACAGAUCACUACCCACUACUGUAAGUAGUUACUGAGAUCAGCAAUAAUAAAUUCCAGUGUUGCAGCAUUACUCCUAUUUGCACUGUAUAUAUUACCCUCCUCCAUGGUUUUCUUCUGUACUCUAAAAACACGUACAAAAACAUGACUAGAACAUACUGAAUACAGCACAUUACCAUGCAUGUUAUACAGAAUUUAGCAGGUGGGAUUUGGCUCACAGAUCAAGGCACCCAAAAUCAGGCUCAUGUCUAACUUCUGCCGCAGUUCUCAGAGUCAAGAUGCCUGAGUCUAGAGUCAACUUACCUGACUAGACAUUAGUGUAUACAUCUGGGUGAGCUGAGUAGCCUUCUAGACUGAGCUGACUGUCUUGACUAGAUGCUUAUGGAUUAUAACAGGUUAGACACCUAUUGCAUAGGUAGACAUAUCCUCUCCAGUCUUAAUCUACAAGCUGAAUCAACCUGCUAUUUCUUUCCUCA